RNAcentral lists this ribosomal RNA (253 nucleotides) under uncultured bacterium. RNAcentral describes it as "partial 16S ribosomal RNA". It matches the Rfam family "Bacterial small subunit ribosomal RNA", at positions 524 to 776 of the family's 1533-position model. The record is from RNAcentral.
UACGGAGGGUGCAAGCGUUAUCCGGAUUCACUGGGUUUAAAGGGUGCGUAGGCGGGCAUUUAAGUCAGUGGUGAAAUACCUGAGCUUAACUUGGGAACUGCCAUUGAUACUAUUUGUCUUGAAUGUCGUGGAGGUUAGCGGAAUAUGUCAUGUAGCGGUGAAAUGCUUAGAUAUGACAUAGAACACCUAUUGCGAAGGCAGCUAACUACGCGAAUAUUGACGCUGAGGCACGAAAGCGUGGGGAGCGAUCCGG